Sorghum bicolor (sorghum) is the source of this 119-nucleotide ribosomal RNA. NCBI's taxonomy places the organism in Eukaryota, Viridiplantae, Streptophyta, Magnoliopsida, Poales, Poaceae. The record is from Rfam.
GGAUGUGAUCAUACCAGCACUAAAGCACCGGAUCCCAUCAGAACUCCGAAGUUAAGCGUGCUUGGGCGAGAGUAGUACUAGGAUGGGUGACCUCCUGGGAAGUCCUCGUGUUGCAUUCC